AACGCACCUUGCGCUCGCUGGUAUUCCGGCGAGCAUGCCUGUUUGAGUGUCAUGAAACUAUCAACCAUGGGCUUGGGUCUUGUGCCCUCGCCCUUGGCUUGGAUUUGGGUGUCUGCGGUCCUGGACCGCUCACCUUAAAUGGAUUAGCUGGACAUGUCUUGUGACCUGGUUCUACUUGGCGUAAUAAGCAUUUCGCUGAGGACAUCCCAUCUCGGGGUGGCCAGGGCUCUCGGCGCCCGUCUGCUUCCUAACCUCCCCGCCGUCCCUCCGGGCGUGUGGACCAUUUUAUGAUCUGGCCUCAAAUCAGGUAGGACUACCCGCUGAACUUAA
RNAcentral lists this ribosomal RNA (330 nucleotides) under uncultured fungus. Its description in RNAcentral is "eukaryotic LSU rRNA". The stretch from base 1 to 52 matches the Rfam family "5.8S ribosomal RNA", at positions 103 to 154 of the family's 154-position model. Lineage: Eukaryota; Fungi. The record is from RNAcentral.